GACGAACGCUGGCGGCGUGCCUAAUACAUGCAAGUCGAACGCAGUGGGGACGGGUGAUUAACACGUGGGUAACCUCCCAUCAGAGGGGAUAACACUUGGCAACAGGUGCUAAACUGAUACUGAUGGAUGGACCCGCGGGGCAUUAGCGAGUGGGUGAGGUAACGGCUCACCAAGGCCACGAGGCAUAGCCGGCCUGAGAGGGUGAUCGGCCACACGGGGACUGAGACACGGCCCAGACUCCUACGGGAGGCAGCAGUAGGGAAUCUUCGGCAAUGGGCGAAAGUCUGACCGAGCAACGCCGCGUGAGUGAAGAAGGUUUUCGGGUCGUAAAGCUCUGUUGGUAGAGAAGCGGUAUCUAACGAAAAAGCAACGGCUAACUACGUGCCAGCAGCCGCGGUAAUUC
Molecule: ribosomal RNA, 403 nt
Filed under: uncultured bacterium
Lineage: Bacteria
Description: partial 16S ribosomal RNA
Rfam family: Bacterial small subunit ribosomal RNA
Source: RNAcentral